This 68-nucleotide transfer RNA is filed under the name Ictidomys tridecemlineatus (thirteen-lined ground squirrel). RNAcentral's name for it is "Spermophilus tridecemlineatus (thirteen-lined ground squirrel) tRNA". It matches the Rfam family "tRNA". From Rfam's summary of the family: Transfer RNA (tRNA) molecules are approximately 80 nucleotides in length. Their secondary structure includes four short double-helical elements and three loops (D, anti-codon, and T loops). Further hydrogen bonds mediate the characteristic L-shaped molecular structure. tRNAs have two regions of fundamental functional importance: the anti-codon, which is responsible for specific mRNA codon recognition, and the 3' end, to which the tRNAs corresponding amino acid is attached (by aminoacyl-tRNA synthetases). tRNAs cope with the degeneracy of the genetic code in two manners: having more than one tRNA (with a specific anti-codon) for a particular amino acid; and 'wobble' base-pairing, i.e. permitting non-standard base-pairing at the 3rd anti-codon position. Lineage: Eukaryota; Metazoa; Chordata; Mammalia; Rodentia; Sciuridae. The record is from Rfam by way of RNAcentral. RNAcentral also lists the same sequence under 1 other name.
GGGGAUGUAGCUCAGAGGUAUAGCACUUGCCUAAUAUGUGAGACCUGGGUUCAACUCCCAUAUUUCUA